RNAcentral lists this long non-coding RNA (1800 nucleotides) under Sus scrofa (pig). RNAcentral's name for it is "lncRNA (ENSSSCG00035054804.1, ENSSSCG00065006092.1, ENSSSCG00105018595.1)". The record is from RNAcentral. Lineage: Eukaryota; Metazoa; Chordata; Mammalia; Artiodactyla; Suidae.
AUUUCCAGGCAGCGCGAACAUCACAUGGAACAGGGAGUACGUGCUCUCUGUUGCCCUAGAUGAGGGUCCUGGUGUUUGGAAGUGGCCUUCGAGGUGGGGUCGCAGGGCUGGUGAUGAUCCUAAGGCUGUGUCGCACCUCAUGCUCGCCAGGCACUGUCUGUGUGUGGGGCAGGAUGCUUGCGUCUUGCAUGAUGCCACGUAACCUUCCUGACGGCCCUAGGAGGGAGGUGCUAGCAUCAGGCCCUUUUCCAAAACUGAGGAAACGAAGGCUUUGAGAGCAUAGGUGACCUGCUAGUGAGGGGUCCAGCCAAGAUUUGAACCCAGACAGCUCAAGAGUCCACUUAAUCCUCAAACCCAUCUAUCGCAGGUUGAAUUGUGUGCCCUGUGUCCAGAGCUAGAUUGACUCUAGACCCCCAGCACCUGUGAAUGGGAAACUGGAAAUAAGGCUUUUGCAGCUGUAAUGAAAUUAUAGUGAGGCAGGGAGUUCCCAUUGUGGCUCAGCAGUAACGAACCGGACUCGCAUCCACGAAGAUGCGGGUUUGAUCCCUGGCCUUGCUCAGUGGAGUAAGGCUCCAGCAUUCCAUGAGCUAUGGUGUAGGUUGCAGACGUAGCUCGGACCCACGUUGCCAUGGCUGUGGUGUAGCCCAGCAGCUGCAGCUCCAGUGUGACCCCUAGCCUGGAAACUUCCAUAUGCUGCAGGAGCAGCUAUAAAAAGCCAAAAAGAAAAAAACAUUAAAGUAAGGUAGUUUAGCAAGAUGAAUAAACCGUAGAGAUCUGUAGCACCCUAUACCUGUGGUUCCCAAUGAUGUAGUUUAUGUAUAAAAAUGUGUUAAGAGAGUAGAUCUUAUGUGACAUGUCUUACUGCAAAAAAAAUUUAAAAAAAAUUUAAAUGACAUUAUCCUGGAUUAGAAUGGGACCGAUAUCCAUGGAUUGAUGUCUUUAUAAGAGAAGAGAGGAAAGUUUGAAGAUACACACACACACACACACACACACACACGCACGCACGCAACGCACAUACGCGCGCACCUGCACAUGCACACACCGAAGAAAGAAAUAAUACUGUACAUUGUUGGUGACCCUCAGAGGCUGGACGCAGCAAAGGACUCCCCCUGACAGCCUUUGGAAGGAUCACAGCCCUGUGGACACCUUGCUUUUGAACUUCUGGCCUCCGGGACAGUGAGAGAAUACCUUUCUGAUGUGCCACCCAGUUUGUGACACUUUGUGACAGCAGAACUGGAAAACUGAUACUGCAUCCCUUCUCAGCUUACCAAAGGGCAUCUGAAGGGGAGCCUUUAAGCAAAUUAAACAACUGCCCCAGGCAGGAGCCAGGCAGCCAAAUGGCUCACCUGGGGGCCUCAGGUGACAGAGGCACCCACUGCCCCCCUUUAAUGGGCCAGAAUGGUGUUCACAUUUCCCAGCCCAUUGGCAGUGACAUAGAGGGAGGAGCCAAGGCUGCAAUCACAACGAUAUACAGCUCAAGGCCAGUGCAAUGAUUAGCUGCCCACAGGAACAGUGCAACGUGCAUGAUAUUUGCCUGCCCAGGAAAGCCAAGUGCAAGUUCCUGCCCGCUCUCAUGACCCGGUUCCGCCAGCGCGGGAAGGGACAGGCCCCUCCAGCUCCUGCCCUCUGCUGCCACCAGGAUUUAACUCCUUCCUGUCCCCCAGGCUGUUGGACAUCGCACACAACUGUUCCAACGUGCAUUCAAGGGGGGUCAGUCUCUUUGAUGGGGCCCUGCCUUUUCUGGAGCUUUCCAACAAUCAAUGGAAGCAUGAUUCAUAGAAGUGCACAUGGCCCAUUUUU